Molecule: transfer RNA, 74 nt
Filed under: Alosa alosa (allis shad)
Lineage: Eukaryota; Metazoa; Chordata; Actinopteri; Clupeiformes; Clupeidae
Description: tRNA-OTHER
Source: RNAcentral
GCAGUUGUGGCCUAUUGGUUGGGGCUUUGGGCUUGGAACCGAAAAGUUGCCAGUUCGAUCCCCGACCAGUGGUU